UACGUAGGGUGCGAGUGUUGUCCGGAAUUAUUGGGCGUAAAGGGCUCGUAGGCGGUUUGUCGCGUCGGGAGUGAAAACCUCGGGCUUAACUCGGGGCUUGCUUUCGAUACGGGCAGACUGGAGGUAUGCAGGGGAGAACGGAAUUCCUGGUGUAGCGGUGAAAUGCGCAGAUAUCAGGAGGAACACCGGUGGCGAAGGCGGUUCUCUGGGCAUGACCUGACGCUGAGGAGCGAAAGUGUGGGGAGCGAACAGG
Molecule: ribosomal RNA, 253 nt
Filed under: uncultured bacterium
Lineage: Bacteria
Description: partial 16S ribosomal RNA
Rfam family: Bacterial small subunit ribosomal RNA
Source: RNAcentral